RNAcentral lists this long non-coding RNA (411 nucleotides) under Gallus gallus (chicken). Lineage: Eukaryota; Metazoa; Chordata; Aves; Galliformes; Phasianidae. The record is from RNAcentral.
UUGCAAUUCCAGCUCUCCUCCACUCAGGGUGAACAAACAGAAAAGAGAUGUAAGCUUCAUUGUAUUUCACGUCUGGCACCAUAAAGCCAAAGGCAAUGAUAACUUUUUUGUAAAGGACAACAACACUGAAGUCUGGAUACUGUAGGCAUUCUGACAAAUCAAUUCCAGGCCAGAAGAAUUCGUGGCACAUGGAGUUUAUAGUAGGGAUGUGAUUAGGGCGAACGUAGCAGUAAUCAAUGGGUGCUUCUGGCUCAGCCUUCCAGUUGAGAUCAUUCCUGUGUGGAUACGCCCAGAUUUCUGCCAGCAGCCUGAGUUUGGGGGGCUUUGUCUCAUAAUCACGCCUGAUGUAUGGUUUCAGGACACGGGACGUGUAAGGACUGACAAUGCUGUGGUCUGACAGCAGAUCUUCUG